RNAcentral lists this ribosomal RNA (459 nucleotides) under Streptococcus vestibularis. RNAcentral describes it as "bacterial SSU rRNA". It matches the Rfam family "Bacterial small subunit ribosomal RNA", at positions 28 to 471 of the family's 1533-position model. Lineage: Bacteria; Bacillati; Bacillota; Bacilli; Lactobacillales; Streptococcaceae. The record is from RNAcentral.
GACGAACGCUGGCGGCGUGCCUAAUACAUGCAAGUAGAACGCUGAAGAGAGGAGCUUGCUCUUCUUGGAUGAGUUGCGAACGGGUGAGUAACGCGUAGGUAACCUGCCUUGUAGCGGGGGAUAACUAUUGGAAACGAUAGCUAAUACCGCAUAACAAUGGGUGACACAUGUCAUUUAUUUGAAAGGGGCAAUUGCUCCACUACAAGAUGGACCUGCGUUGUAUUAGCUAGUAGGUGAGGUAACGGCUCACCUAGGCGACGAUACAUAGCCGACCUGAGAGGGUGAUCGGCCACACUGGGACUGAGACACGGCCCAGACUCCUACGGGAGGCAGCAGUAGGGAAUCUUCGGCAAUGGGGGCAACCCUGACCGAGCAACGCCGCGUGAGUGAAGAAGGUUUUCGGAUCGUAAAGCUCUGUUGUAAGUCAAGAACGAGUGUGAGAGUGGAAAGUUCACACUG